RNAcentral lists this ribosomal RNA (480 nucleotides) under uncultured bacterium. Its description in RNAcentral is "partial 16S ribosomal RNA". It matches the Rfam family "Bacterial small subunit ribosomal RNA", at positions 28 to 507 of the family's 1533-position model. The record is from RNAcentral.
GAUGAACGCUGGCGGCGUGCUUAACACAUGCAAGUCGAACGAAACACCUUAUUUGAUUUUCUUCGGAACUGAAGAUUUGGUGAUUGAGUGGCGGACGGGUGAGUAACGCGUGGGUAACCUGCCCUGUACAGGGGGAUAACAGUCAGAAAUGACUGCUAAUACCGCAUAAGACCACAGCACCGCAUGGUGCAGGGGUAAAAACUCCGGUGGUACAGGAUGGACCCGCGUCUGAUUAGCUGGUUGGUGAGGUAACGGCUCACCAAGGCGACGAUCAGUAGCCGGCUUGAGAGAGUGAACGGCCACAUUGGGACUGAGACACGGCCCAACUCCUACGGGAGGCAGCAGUGGGGAAUAUUGCACAAUGGGGGAAACCCUGAUGCAGCGACGCCGCGUGAGUGAAGAAGUAUUUCGGUAUGUAAAGCUCUAUCAGCAGGGAAGAAAAUGACGGUACCUGACUAAGAAGCCCCGGCUAACUACGUG